UUGAAUAUAUAUUAUUUGUACAACUCGUUUAUUGAAUGUUGGUUUGUUUUUGUUUUGUACUUGGUGGGAACUGUUUGCGUGUCCUGUGUUGCGCUGGGACGCAUUUGAUUGCAACAAUCGCAGGUGAACAUGUGGUUGAAGCUAGAAGUGCAAGUAAGUGAAGCAAGUAAGAGAAGCUAGAAGUGCAAGUAAGUGAAGCUAGGAAGAGUAAGUAAGUGAAGCAAGUAAGAGAAGCUAGGAAGUGCAAGUAAGUGAAGCUAGGAAGUGCAAGUAAGAGAAGAAUACAUGUCUAAAGUGGACCCAUUCCCUCGUGGUUUAUGUGCAGCCAGUGAGUUCGACGGUGGAUUGAAGGUGGAUGGCGAAGUGCGCCCGCAUCCAAUAAACAUCUGUCAGUAAAGAAAAAGAACAACGGUGGCGUCUAGUUCCUGGAGGGAGUGAUAGUCGAACUCAAGCCUGCUGAUUCCCCGGACCUGCUCGUGCAAGACAGCUCGUCAAGACGGAGUCACAGCCACACUGUUAAAGGACACACCAGUUCAUCCAUUUUUCAUGAAGACGUCCUUCGACGGUGGAUUGAAGGUGGAUGGCGAAGUGCGCCCGCAUCCAAUAAACAUCUGUCAGUAAAGAAAAAGAACAACGGUGGCGU
Molecule: long non-coding RNA, 643 nt
Organism: Pseudoliparis swirei
Lineage: Eukaryota; Metazoa; Chordata; Actinopteri; Perciformes; Liparidae
Exons: 3
Source: RefSeq, a predicted model, not a curated record